GACUUGGCUUUGACCCUGGAACUCUGAGUAAACAGGAAAGCCGAAGUCUCAGCCUGCUGUUGGCUCCGUCCUCUGCCUGCAUAGAGGGAAGGUCAUUUGAGGACAAAAUGAGAAAAUGGUUGUCUGCAACCACAGGAAGAAAGUCCUCACCGAACACCAAUCCUGACAGCAACUUGAUCUUGGACUUCCAGCCUCCAGAGAGUGAGAACCUGAAUGACCUAAGGACCACUGGUCAAGUGUCAAGGACUGACAUGAGAUCCCUGUCUCUGGUUACAUAAACAUAGGCUACACAAUUUAGACACAUGUUUUAAAAAUGUGAACUCAAUUAUAAUGUUACCAUAACCACUAAAAUUUAAACAUUCUCAGCCAUUAAUUAAGCUAAACUAGGAAUUAUCCCUAGAGUUGAGCAGACUCCCCUAAAACCUUUUAACUUGGA
Non-coding RNA from Odocoileus virginianus texanus, 436 nucleotides. NCBI's taxonomy places the organism in Eukaryota, Metazoa, Chordata, Mammalia, Artiodactyla, Cervidae. The record is from RefSeq and is a predicted model, not a curated record.